GGCAUUAAGAGGUCCCUUCUUGCUAUCCCCGGCCCAAGCACAUACUAUAUUGCCCAUGCCCAGCUAGCAAUGAUGUGCUUUGGUCAGCAGUGUCGCCUGUCCCUUUUUGCGCAUCGUUUGGUGCAUUCUGGAGGUUGUUUUUAGGGGUGUAAGUGAGACAAGCCAACUCGCGAGAAACUCGAGACCGACUCGGAAAAUACUCGAAAUCGACUCAACCUUAAUCGAGCCGAGCUCAAGCUCGAGCUACUCGAGUACCUUAUCGAGCCGAGCUCGAGUACAAAAAUACUCAGCUCGUAAGGUUCGCGAGCUUAGUCGAGCUUAGUGUAAUUUACAUAUAUGUCAUUUCUUUAUAAUUGUUCAUUUAUAAGAUAUAUGUCAUUUCUUUAUAAUUAUUCAUUUAUGACAUAUAUGGUUGAUGUUAUAUUGAUAUUAGGUGAUUAAUAGUGGUUUUUUUGGUAGUUUGGAUAUUUACAUGUGGAAUGUUUAAUAUUUCUUACUUAAUUUAGUGAUUUUUAUUUUUUAAAAUAUUAGUUGAGCCGAGUCGAGCCGAGCUCGAUACUAUCGAGUAUUUCACGAGCCCGAGCUCGAGCUUAAAAUCAAGGCUCGAGUCGAGUGCGAGCCGAGUUUCGAGCUCGAGUAUUUUAGUCGAGCCGAACUUCGAACUUGGUAGUAUUCAGGUCGACUCGGCUCGUUUACACCCCUAGUUGUUUUAGCUUAUGGUUGCUUGCAUGGCCUUGUGCCAAGUGGGUGGCUGUUAGUUUGAUGAUCUUCGGGGAUGUCUACCCUAAAGGUGCAUGAGUGGUGUUUGGUUUGUAACGGAUGGUUGGAUGUCUGCUUGAGCAGCAACUUCCAUGCGUUCUUACAUCUUCACUUGUGUUACAACUUCCAUGCCUUGAACAUGGUGGGUUCCUGUGUUGCAUACCUAAUUGAUGACAUUGUGUUGUUUGAACAAAGUUUCCUUUCGUUAAGCAUCGAUUGCGGUGCCAACAAACCCUGAAGCUCGUAUUAAACUACAAAGUGGCGUGAUAUGUGAAGCCAAAAUAAAGGUUCAUAUAGUCAAUUUCAUAUUCAUAAUUGAACCUUUUGGAGAAA
RNAcentral lists this long non-coding RNA (1092 nucleotides) under Lactuca sativa (garden lettuce). Its description in RNAcentral is "long non-coding RNA (LSAT_LNC000008)". Lineage: Eukaryota; Viridiplantae; Streptophyta; Magnoliopsida; Asterales; Asteraceae. The record is from RNAcentral.